This 465-nucleotide ribosomal RNA is filed under the name Vreelandella stevensii. RNAcentral's name for it is "partial 16S ribosomal RNA". It matches the Rfam family "Bacterial small subunit ribosomal RNA", at positions 338 to 795 of the family's 1533-position model. Lineage: Bacteria; Pseudomonadati; Pseudomonadota; Gammaproteobacteria; Oceanospirillales; Halomonadaceae. The record is from RNAcentral.
UCUACGGGCGGCAGCAGUGGGGAAUAUUGGACAAUGGGCGAAAGCCUGAUCCAGCCAUGCCGCGUGUGUGAAGAAGGCCUUCGGGUUGUAAAGCACUUUCAGUGGGGAAGAAAGCCUUGGGGCUAAUACCCUCGAGGAAGGACAUCACCCACAGAAGAAGCACCGGCUAACUCCGUGCCAGCAGCCGCGGUAAUACGGAGGGUGCGAGCGUUAAUCGGAAUUACUGGGCGUAAAGCGCGCGUAGGCGGUCUGAUAAGCCGGUUGUGAAAGCCCCGGGCUCAACCUGGGAACGGCAUCCGGAACUGUCAGGAUAGAGUGCAGGAGAGGAAGGUAGAAUUCCCGGUGUAGCGGUGAAAUGCGUAGAGAUCGGGAGGAAUACCAGUGGCGAAGGCGGCCUUCUGGACUGACACUGACGCUGAGGUGCGAAAGCGUGGGUAGCAAACAGGAUUAGAUACCCUUGUAGUC